This 253-nucleotide ribosomal RNA is filed under the name uncultured bacterium. RNAcentral describes it as "partial 16S ribosomal RNA". It matches the Rfam family "Bacterial small subunit ribosomal RNA", at positions 524 to 776 of the family's 1533-position model. The record is from RNAcentral.
UACGUAGGGGGCAAGCGUUGUCCGGAUUUAUUGGGCGUAAAGAGCGUGUAGGCGGUCAGGUAGGUCCGUUGUGAAAACUCGAGGCUCAACCUCGAGACGCCGAUGGAAACCAUCUGGCUAGAGUCCGGAAGAGGAGAGUGGAAUUCCUGGUGUAGCGGUGAAAUGCGUAGAUAUCAGGAGGAACACCUGCGGUGUAGACGGCUUACUGGACCACGACUGACACUGAAACUCGAAAGUGUGGGGAGCAAACAGG